This is a long non-coding RNA of Ostrinia nubilalis (European corn borer), 408 nucleotides long. RefSeq lists it as uncharacterized. The transcript has 3 exons. Lineage: Eukaryota; Metazoa; Arthropoda; Insecta; Lepidoptera; Crambidae. The record is from RefSeq and is a predicted model, not a curated record.
CAAGAUGAUCGCGGCGAGCUGCUCUGUAGUACUCCUGGUUCUGCUCGCCACUUGUGAGGCAAGAUUAUGCGCAAAAGGCAUUUACGGUGACAACACUGCGGCCGCUGUGCAUGGUGAAACUCGAUACUUUGCAGGCAACUCUAUUGUAUACGAAAUAACGCAAUCCUAUCCGUGUCAUCAUGUGGGCACGGAGGUGGUGGUGUGUGUUGACGACUCCAAGUAUCCUUCAGUACAUAUAAAGGACUUAAACCUUGCAAGUAUCGUUCGUCAUGGAAAUAUAAAGGGGUAUGCGGAAGUGAAACCAAUAACGUACUGCAGAAAGUAUAAAGGCGCUGGCCAAGCCGGAAAAGCUCUACCUGCUCCGCGAGUCACCGUAGUCAAGUCAGGCAACUAAAGAGUGAAAAUAAA